RNAcentral lists this ribosomal RNA (549 nucleotides) under uncultured bacterium. RNAcentral describes it as "bacterial SSU rRNA". It matches the Rfam family "Bacterial small subunit ribosomal RNA", at positions 356 to 896 of the family's 1533-position model. The record is from RNAcentral.
AGGGAAUCUUCGGCAAUGGACGGAAGUCUGACCGAGCAACGCCGCGUGAGUGAAGAAGGUUUUCGGAUCGUAAAGCUCUGUUGUAAGAGAAGAACGAGUGUGAGAGUGGAAAGUUCACACUGUGACGGUAUCUCACCAGAAAGGGACGGCUAACUACGUGCCAGCAGCCGCGGUAAUACGUAGGUCCCGAGCGUUGUCCGGAUUUAUUGGGCGUAAAGCGAGCGCAGGCGGUUAGAUAAGUCUGAAGUUAAAGGCUGUGGCUUAACCAUAGUACGCUUUGGAAACUGUUUAACUUGAGUGCAAGAGGGGAGAGUGGAAUUCCAUGUGUAGCGGUGAAAUGCGUAGAUAUAUGGAGGAACACCGGUGGCGAAAGCGGCUCUCUGGCUUGUAACUGACGCUGAGGCUCGAAAGCGUGGGGAGCAAACAGGAUUAGAUACCCUGGUAGUCCACGCCGUAAACGAUGAGUGCUAGGUGUUAGACCCUUUCCGGGGUUUAGUGCCGUAGCUAACGCAUUAAGCACUCCGCCUGGGGAGUACGACCGCAAGGUUG